GGGGUUGUGGCUCAGUGGUAGAGCACUCACCUAGCACGGUUGAGGCACUGCGUUCAAUCCUCAGCACCACA
Molecule: transfer RNA, 71 nt
Filed under: Marmota monax (woodchuck)
Lineage: Eukaryota; Metazoa; Chordata; Mammalia; Rodentia; Sciuridae
Description: tRNA.Ala
Source: RNAcentral